AUUGAACGCUGGCGGCAGGCCUAACACAUGCAAGUCGAGCGAGUGGCGGACGGGUGAGUCAUGUCUGGGAAACUGCCCGAUGGAGGGGGAUAACUACUGGAAACGGUAGCUAAUACCGCAUACCAUCGGAUGUGCCCAGAUGGGAUUAGCUAGUAGGUGGGGUAACGGCUCACCAAGGCGACGAUCCCUAGCUGGUCUGAGAGGAUGACCAGCCACACUGGAACUGAGACACGGUCCAGACUCCUACGGGAGGCAGCAGUGGGGAAUAUUGCACAAUGGGCGCAAGCCUGAGACAGCCAUGCCGCGUGUAUGAAGAAGGCCUUCGGGUUGUAAAGUACUGUCAGCGAGGAGGCGUUACUCGCAGAAGAAGCACCGGCUAACUCCGUGCCAGCAGCCGCGGUAAUAC
This 406-nucleotide ribosomal RNA is filed under the name uncultured bacterium. RNAcentral's name for it is "partial 16S ribosomal RNA". It matches the Rfam family "Bacterial small subunit ribosomal RNA", at positions 30 to 526 of the family's 1533-position model. The record is from RNAcentral.